This 254-nucleotide ribosomal RNA is filed under the name uncultured bacterium. RNAcentral describes it as "partial 16S ribosomal RNA". It matches the Rfam family "Bacterial small subunit ribosomal RNA", at positions 524 to 776 of the family's 1533-position model. The record is from RNAcentral.
GACGUUGGGAGCAAGCGUUGUCCGGAUUUACUGGGCGUAAAGAGCGCGUAGGCGGUCUGUUAAGUGAGUGGUGAAAUCUCCAGGGCUCAACCCGGAAACUGCUUCUCAUACUGGCAGACUUGAGGAAUGCAGAGGUAUAUGGAAUUCCCGGUGUAGCGGUGACAUGCAUUGAUAUCGGGAGGAACACCAAAAGCGAAGGCAGUAUACUGGGCAUUAUCUGACGCUGAGGCGCGAAAGCGUGGGGAGCAAACAGA